Molecule: long non-coding RNA, 2385 nt
Filed under: Brassica napus (rape)
Lineage: Eukaryota; Viridiplantae; Streptophyta; Magnoliopsida; Brassicales; Brassicaceae
Description: long non-coding RNA (BNAP_LNC018358)
Source: RNAcentral
AGAAGAUGAUGGGACUGAAGGAACCAAGCGAAUGAGAGGGCUUGAGGACAUUGGAAAAGAACAUGUGGGUGCUACUGUCUUGCAUAGGCAAGAAAUGGGUUCUAUCUGUAGUGUAAACCUCAGUAAUAGCUAUAUUGCUUCCAAUGGGUACAAGGCAUGCUCACCGUUGUCACUGAAAAGAAAAAGGUCCCAAGUCACUAACGCUAGUGAGUGCUCUAAAAGGAAAAACCGAAGCCGGCAACUGACAAAGGUGUUAGAGUGUACAGCUAUGGUCUGUGUCCCUGGUACCUCUGACCAGCUUGUCACAUCUGGAUUGGAGCCUGUUGAAUCCAUGAAGAGUGUAUCUGUUGUAAUCAACAAUAACUCAGAUAGCACUGGGGUCUCAUGCGAGAAUGCUCCUGAGCAUGUUGUUGGAGACUCACAUAACAACAAGGCAAAAGACAGUGAAACUUCCAGCGUAUCAGUUUCAGCGGAAGACGACCCUUCUGUGCAGUUAUAUGAUGUUCCAUUAACUGAAGGAGAAGCAAAACACUCUGCAGGUAUCAAUGGUUUUAAACCUUGUUUAAGUGCUAUGUUUAUGUUUGUACAGCUCUAGCUCCAAGAAUCUACAUGCUUUCACUGCUGUGAAGUAAAGAAUUAAAAGCUUACUAUUCUCUUCAAGUGGGUUUUGCCACAUCAUUAGACCGUUGUCUGCAAAAACUAGUAGCUUAGAUGUUUCCUAAUAUUUAACUUGCUUCUGCAAUGUUUUCUGCUAUUAUUGUGUGUUUCUCCACCUUCUUAGUAUCCAUAGGUUUAAUAUCUUUUUUUUUUUGGGUGGUUUGUGAACAUUGUCACUUUAGGUUUUCCAGCAGCUUGCACCAUUUCCUCAUCAAGGGCAGCUCUUGUUUCCGCCUUGACAAGGCGGUGUAGUCAUGAUGUGUUUGUUAAGAAAGAGGCAAGAAAUGGAUCAGCUUGUGCAAAUCCACCAGAUACACAACUUGUCAUUUGGAACUCGAACGGGAUUGAGAAGAGCGCCUGUAAGUGGCAGCUAAAAGGAAAGAGGAACUCAAGGCAGAUGAGUAAGAAACAAGAAGCGAGAAGAAGUGUGUACAGCGAGGAAGCUAAUAAUAACAGGCCACUGCUUCUUCCUGCGCUGUUCGAAGUGAAGAUUGAAGUAAGAGCUAGCUGUAACAAACCACGUGUUCCAUUGGUUUCUCGUAUGAGUAAACUGAACGGUAAAGCUAUUGUUGGGCAUCCUGUAAGUGUUGAAGCCUUGGAAGAGGGAUACUACAACGGUGGUGUGGUGAAGUCUCAAGCUGUUGUGAAGGCAAAGUCAUUGUCUGAAAAGAAAUGCAAGAAGAGGAAAACAAAUGGUGCUUUUGGAAAGUCAUCGAAGUCAAAGAAGAAAUCGUCUUCCUUAUCGGUAAAGACAAGAAGGCUCUCUACUCUGACAGAAAGAAGCAAGAAGCAGACAAUAGAAAAGCUAAAGGAAACGGUUGUGGCUUGUAUACCGUUGAAAGCAAAACCUGAAGGCUAUUAAUGCUUCAGUAGGAAGAUUGGUCUGGGUUCGUCUCCGUAACGGUUCUUGGUGGCCAGGACAGACUCUGCUUCAUGAGGAAGUUCCUGAAAGCUCUCUGCUUUCUCCAAAACUCGGCACUCCUAUAAAGCUUCUAGGUCGUGAUGAUGUUGGCAUGUGAGUCUCUCUUGUCCAUUAUCUCAGUCUCUCUUGAUCUUGAUUGCUGGCUAAAAGUGUGUCUUUUUUUUUGUUUUGUUUCUUAUGAAUCUCCAGUGAUUGGUAUGUACUUGAAAAGUCCAAGAGCAUGAAGGCGUUUCGUUGUGGAGAGUAUGAUGCUCACAUUGAGAAAGCAAAGGCUUCUGCCGCUGCAGCGAGGGCUAGUAGUAAGAAGACUGUCAAAUGUACUCGCCGAGAGAAUGCCAUUAUAAGUGCCUUAGAGAUUGAGAAUGCUCAUCUUGCAAAAGAAGACCAUCCAGACAAUAAUUUGUGUAGUGAGGAGGAAGAUGAUGAGGUUACAGAAUCUGAAGAUAGAGGAGAAGCUGAAGAUGAACUUGACUCAGCGCCAGAGCUAUUACAAUCUAGUAUGUCUUCCCAAAAUGUUGGAACUUUGGUGAAGGUGGAGCCAAAGAGAAGAAGAACACCGAAUGACUCAGAAGAUGAUGGGACUGAAGGAACCAAGCGAAUGAGAGGGCUUGAGGACAUUGGAAAAGAACAUGUGGGUGCUACUGUCUUGCAUAGGCAAGAAAUGGGUUCUAUCUGUAGUGUAAACCUCAGUAAUAGCUAUAUUGCUUCCAAUGGGUACAAGGCAUGCUCACCGUUGUCACUGAAAAGAAAAAGGUCCCAAGUCACUAACGCUAGUGAGUGCUCUAAAAGGAAAAACCGAAGCCGGC